Molecule: ribosomal RNA, 1349 nt
Filed under: Lactiplantibacillus plantarum
Lineage: Bacteria; Bacillati; Bacillota; Bacilli; Lactobacillales; Lactobacillaceae
Description: bacterial SSU rRNA
Rfam family: Bacterial small subunit ribosomal RNA
Source: RNAcentral
GACGAACGCUGGCGGCGUGCCUAAUACAUGCAAGUCGAACGAACUCUGGUAUUGAUUGGUGCUUGCAUCAUGAUUUACAUUUGAGUGAGUGGCGAACUGGUGAGUAACACGUGGGAAACCUGCCCAGAAGCGGGGGAUAACACCUGGAAACAGAUGCUAAUACCGCAUAACAACUUGGACCGCAUGGUCCGAGYUUGAAAGAUGGCUUCGGCUAUCACUUUUGGAUGGUCCCGCGGCGUAUUAGCUAGAUGGUGRGGUAACGGCUCACCAUGGCAAUGAUACGUAGCCGACCUGAGAGGGUAAUCGGCCACAUUGGGACUGAGACACGGCCCAAACUCCUACGGGAGGCAGCAGUAGGGAAUCUUCCACAAUGGACGAAAGUCUGAUGGAGCAACGCCGCGUGAGUGAAGAAGGGUUUCGGCUCGUAAAACUCUGUUGUUAAAGAAGAACAUAUCUGAGAGUAACUGUUCAGGUAUUGACGGUAUUUAACCAGAAAGCCACGGCUAACUACGUGCCAGCAGCCGCGGUAAUACGUAGGUGGCAAGCGUUGUCCGGAUUUAUUGGGCGUAAAGCGAGCGCAGGCGGUUUUUUAAGUCUGAUGUGAAAGCCUUCGGCUCAACCGAAGAAGUGCAUCGGAAACUGGGAAACUUGAGUGCAGAAGAGGACAGUGGAACUCCAUGUGUAGCGGUGAAAUGCGUAGAUAUAUGGAAGAACACCAGUGGCGAAGGCGGCUGUCUGGUCUGUAACUGACGCUGAGGCUCGAAAGUAUGGGUAGCAAACAGGAUUAGAUACCCUGGUAGUCCAUACCGUAAACGAUGAAUGCUAAGUGUUGGAGGGUUUCCGCCCUUCAGUGCUGCAGCUAACGCAUUAAGCAUUCCGCCUGGGGAGUACGGCCGCAAGGCUGAAACUCAAAGGAAUUGACGGGGGCCCGCACAAGCGGUGGAGCAUGUGGUUUAAUUCGAAGCUACGCGAAGAACCUUACCAGGUCUUGACAUACUAUGCAAAUCUAAGAGAUUAGACGUUCCCUUCGGGGACAUGGAUACAGGUGGUGCAUGGUUGUCGUCAGCUCGUGUCGUGAGAUGUUGGGUUAAGUCCCGCAACGAGCGCAACCCUUAUUAUCAGUUGCCAGCAUUAAGUUGGGCACUCUGGUGAGACUGCCGGUGACAAACCGGAGGAAGGUGGGGAUGACGUCAAAUCAUCAUGCCCCUUAUGACCUGGGCUACACACGUGCUACAAUGGAUGGUACAACGAGUUGCGAACUCGCGAGAGUAAGCUAAUCUCUUAAAGCCAUUCUCAGUUCGGAUUGUAGGCUGCAACUCGCCUACAUGAAGUCGGAAUCGCUAGUAAUC